This 293-nucleotide unclassified non-coding RNA is filed under the name uncultured fungus. RNAcentral describes it as "partial contains small subunit ribosomal RNA, internal transcribed spacer 1, and 5.8S ribosomal RNA". The stretch from base 1 to 73 matches the Rfam family "Eukaryotic small subunit ribosomal RNA", at positions 1759 to 1831 of the family's 1831-position model. Lineage: Eukaryota; Fungi. The record is from RNAcentral.
GCAAACUUGGUCAUUUAGAGGAAGUAAAAGUCGUAACAAGGUUUCCGUAGGUGAACCUGCGGAAGGAUCAUUAAAGAGUACCGGGCCUCUCAGGCCCGCGCUCCAACCCUUUGUAUACCAAACCCAGUUGCUUUGGCGGGCCUGCGGCCUGAAAACCGCCGCCGGCCUCGGCUGGCGCGCGCCCGCCAGAGGACCACCGAAAUUCAGCUUUACGUGUCGUCUGAGCGAAUGAUAAAUCAUUUAAAACUUUCAACAACGGAUCUCUUGGUUCUGGCAUCGAUGAAGAACGCAGC